AUUGAACGCUGGCGGCAGGCCUAACACAUGCAAGUCGGACGGUAGCACAGAGGAGCUUGCUCCUCGGGUGACGAGUGGCGGACGGGUGAGUAAUGUCUGGGGAUCUGCCCGAUAGAGGGGGAUAACCACUGGAAACGGUGGCUAAUACCGCAUGACGUCGCAAGACCAAAGAGGGGGACCUUCGGGCCUCUCACUAUCGGAUGAACCCAGAUGGGAUUAGCUAGUAGGCGGGGUAACGGCCCACCUAGGCGACGAUCCCUAGCUGGUCUGAGAGGAUGACCAGCCACACUGGAACUGAGACACGGUCCAGACUCCUACGGGAGGCAGCAGUGGGGAAUAUUGCACAAUGGGCGCAAGCCUGAUGCAGCCAUGCCGCGUGUAUGGAGAAGGCCUUCGGGUUGUAAAGUACUUUCAGCGGGGAGGAAGGCGACGUGGUUAAUAACCGCGUCGAUUGACGUUACCCGCAGAAGAAGCACCGGCUAACUCCGUGCCAGCAGCCGCCGUAA
This 506-nucleotide ribosomal RNA is filed under the name uncultured bacterium. RNAcentral's name for it is "partial 16S ribosomal RNA". It matches the Rfam family "Bacterial small subunit ribosomal RNA", at positions 29 to 523 of the family's 1533-position model. The record is from RNAcentral.